CCCGGGAGGAGCGCAGGCAGCAUUCAUGUGAAAACACCGACGCACUGCAGCCGACGCACGAAUGUGUCACAACACGCAGUUUGGAAAGCUCUGAGCUAGAGACAAAACUAUCCUAAGCAUUCUUACUCAGAAGUUAGUCUCACUGUGUUCAACGUAUGUUGGCUUGCAGCAGAGAUAGCAGCGUGAGGCAGGCAGCAAGUCAAGUGGCAACUCUUACUUUGAAAAAACAGUCAAAGGGAAGACAAUCAAAGGGAAGGUAUUUUGGACUGGGUGGGGAUCGAUAGACAAUGUCUCCUAUGCAGAGAGGUACUUACCUCAGCCAUAAUGUUUUGCUCUCACUGUCCUCUCCUUUCAGUCCUCAGAUAUUUAUAGAUCUUUUUCAGUUUCGUUUUCACUUUAUAGCCUUAAAAAACAACAACCUGUUACUAGCAAGGCAACAGUUGUCAUCAGUAUAACAUCUCCUGGCAACACUUGCUAGGAUAGUUUUCAACAUGCCAAAUAGGCCUAGAGCCCCCACCCCAUCUCCCCAGUAUUCCAACAUUUUAAAGGUCAUUCCUGGUUCCUUUCACUUCUAGAAGUGUAAGGAAAAGACUUCUACCCAAUUGCACAACAAAAAGUAAAAUAACCAAAUCACUUUUUCCCUGUCCUCCCAGCCUGCUAGGCUCCUUGUAUUUAUGUUCUGGCUGUUCUGCAAUGGUUUCCUGCCCUACAAGACCCAUUCACCACAAUCUCUGUCUGAGGCAGGGGUAGCUAACAUGCUUCUCUGCACAUGUUGUUGGACUCCAAACUCCCAUCAGCGUUAGUCACCAUGCCUAGUCAUGUCUGCAGGGUCACAGGUUCACCACCCCUCAAGCAGGUGAUGCUUUUCCUUGGCAUGGGCGUACAGUUGAUUGGGAAGACUUCCCCUUCACAACUGCUGCAUCCUAGAAGCUGCAGCUAUCUCUGUCUUCCAGACAGUUUCUUUCUGAUCCUUGUACCUGCUUUGACGACGAGUGUGUUUGUUUGUUUGUUUGUCUGCCUGCCUGCCUGCCUGUCUCUCUCUCUGUGUGUGUGUGUUUGUGUGUGUCCCAAUUCCCCAAGCAUUGAGGAGUUCAGGGGCUCAGAAUGCCCUCAGGUUCUGCUUCCAUUGCAAUGAAGUCACUGGAGACUUAUUGGCAUUUUGUGAUAUAGGACUUGCAUAAUUACAUGGGUUGACUGUAGGUAAAGAUUCACAGCAUUAAACACCCUAUAAAUCUUCCGAAGAGCUCCCAGGAAUCUCUUGGAUCCUCAGCCUGAUCUUGUUUCCAGAAGUUUAAGAAGUAUGGAGAAGGACUUUACCCCCACCUGAAUAAAUGGCCCUUCCCAUUUCCCACCCACAAAUGGGGCCAUCAUGUUAUUUUCAAAGUGAAGAAACGCCACGUUCAGAUGUCUUGGAGAACAACUAUGUGGCUGAUGUUUGUGGCUCUCUAAUUGUGCCAAAAUAGCAGCCCACCUGCUGCACGUAAAAUUCCGUUAGACUCUAAUGCUAAGCAAAUCCAUGUGGAAAGAAGCUUCCUCAGGGUCACUGCGAUCCACUUUCAAAGAAGUGUGUUUGUUAUUAAGCAACCAACAAUUCAUUUCAAAAUUACAAAAGUAAUUUCAAAAUUACAAAAGUACUGAACCAGAUAAGGCCUAAUUAAUAGCUCACUACCAGCAUUUUGCUCUACCUUUUUAAAUGUAGCUCUGGAGCCAAGUAAUUAAUUUGAGCUCAGUUGCAUUAACACCAUUACCAUAUUUCCGAAGCUGUAAAUGGGUGGACCGGUAUGUGAAACUCUUUCUUCAGUUUCAAUGGCUCCUUUGCUCCUUCAAUUUUAGAAAUCCCAUUUGUGUGUGUGUUUUAAGUAUUCAACAUGCAUCUGUUUUUAGCUAAUGGGACGUCUUUAUUUCAUCAACAACAUUCCCAAGUACAGUCGUACCUCGGAAGUCGAACAGAAUCCGUUCCAGAAGUCCAUUAGACUUCCAAAACGUUCGACUUCCAUAGCACGGCUUCUGAUUGGCUGAGGGAAACUCCUGCAGCCAAUCAGAAGCCAUGAGAGUCUUGUCAGACAUUCAGCUUCCAAACGAACAUUCUAAAACCGGAACACUCACUUCUGGGUUUUGACUGUUCGGGAGCCGGAACGUUUGACUCCCAAGGCAUUCAGGAGCCGAGGUACGACUGUAUUUGCAAAGUCCAAACACCAGGAGCCAAAGGGCUAUGCUUAACCUACCAUGAAUGCAUGAAGAUUCCCAGCCUGCCCACCCCCUUUGAAAAGCCACCCUUGAAGACCAGGGCACAUUCUCUUUCAAUAUUUUUUAAUAAUGAUGUUUCUUGGAUAUAUUUUUUUCCUUCUCCUUUAAUUUUUAAUUAUGGUAUUGUUGUUCAUGAGUUUCUUUUAACUAGAUUUUUUUUAUUCAUGGCAGAGCAGAGAGAGAAAGAAAGAAAGAAAGAAAGAAAGAAAGAAAGAAAGAAAGAAAGAGCGAGCUUCUGUCACUUUUGGUCUCAGAUGGGAGAUGGGAACCAAAACCAGGAAACAAAAACAUAUUGAGAAAAUGGGAAGUUGAGGUGAAGGAAGAAGGAUUGAGGGCUGAGAUUUCAGCUAAACACACAAGUAAAGAAGACUCUUUCCCCUCCUCCAUUGAAGGGGGCUAUGAAAACCCAAAUGCCAAUGAAUUCACAAGCUACACUGUUGUGGGAUUCUUUAUAUAGACACGUAUUGAUUUUUAACAACCGAGGCCUGCAGCGAAACGUUGUACAUGUCAAGGGUGGCCUGAAACAAGAUGGCGGCAUCCAUUCCAAGUACAGAAGUUGACCAGACUGGCAACUGAACCUUACUUCAAUGUUGAUCAGUGUCCUCUACCACAUCUAGAGGUAGCAGGGAGAAAUUUGAUUCAAUUCACAUUCAA
Molecule: long non-coding RNA, 2901 nt
Filed under: Podarcis lilfordi (Lilford's wall lizard)
Lineage: Eukaryota; Metazoa; Chordata; Lepidosauria; Squamata; Lacertidae
Source: RNAcentral